UGCUUUUCUUUGAACCUCUGUGUCUGGAACGUGGGCCCUGGGGCUGACGUCCUGAAUGCGCACGGGGAAGCGUGCCCACUGAACCCUGGUCCCGCAGGGUGAGAGCCAAGGGGGGCUCCGAGCGGGGCGGGGCGGCUCAGGGAAGGCCUCCAGAGGCAGGCGGGGGGACUCUGGAGAGCUGACGACCUUGGAGGAAAGGGGGUGCAGGCAGGGGAAGCUGGGGUGCUCAGGCGUGGAGGCAGAACAUUCACCGGCUCCCUUCUUUGGAGGGUACCUGGUGCUCGUGCAGUAGCCAACAGGGCAGAUCGGCUCCCGCCCCUGCCGUCGGGGAGGGGGAGGCGGAGGAGGGCAGCGAGCAAAGGCAGGCUUUGAUAAUCUCUGCUCCUGGAUGUGCGCGGGUGGAGCCCGCGGGCAGAACAAGUGCAGCGGGCGUGAAGGGCACCGCCAGGCCAGCCAGCCCCCUGGGUCCCCCUGUCGCCUGAGGCCUGAGACCACGUGGCCGUCCCCAAGGAUGUCCGACUGUUGCCUUAGUUCCUGAUGCCAGCCCUGUGCCUAGAUCAUGUGUCACCUGUUUGCGGUGACAUUUUCUUCAGCUCCCCGGGGUGACCACCGGGCCACACCUGAGCUGGCUCU
RNAcentral lists this long non-coding RNA (633 nucleotides) under Felis catus (domestic cat). RNAcentral describes it as "lncRNA (ENSFCAG00000046136.2)". Lineage: Eukaryota; Metazoa; Chordata; Mammalia; Carnivora; Felidae. The record is from RNAcentral.